RNA transcript from Helianthus annuus (common sunflower), 852 nucleotides. It is a transcript of the gene named putative E3 ubiquitin-protein ligase XBAT34, with no coding region annotated. NCBI's taxonomy places the organism in Eukaryota, Viridiplantae, Streptophyta, Magnoliopsida, Asterales, Asteraceae. The transcript has 4 exons. The record is from RefSeq and is a predicted model, not a curated record.
UACGACUUUUGCUUCUUAUGUUCGCUACUUUCUCCCUCUGUUAUGUUUCAUGAAACCCUAAUAAAUGCCGUCCACAUGAAUACCCCAAAAUAUUGAAGACAACACAAUCUUUCAACGAAUACCUUUCUAAUAUCCGAUUCCACAAUUGAUCGCAGACUGAAACCCUAAAUGUCGUCCACAUGAAUACCCCAAAAUAUUGAAGGCAACACAAUCUUCCAAGGAGUACCUUUCUAAUAUCUGAUCCCACAAUUGAUCGCAGCAUUCCAGGUUUUGAUAGCUCCAAACGAUUCAAGGUUGCUCGAAUGAGAUUGACUAUUUAAUUCCUUUUAUGUUCCCAUGGCUUACAUCUGGCAUUUAUGUGAAUUAAAUUCACAAGCCUAUUCACAGAAUCACAUUCAACAUGGAUGACAUGAUCGCUGAGUUUUCGGGUCGGCGGAGACGGUCCAAGUGUCAGAACAACGGGCUUUUCGAGCAAUAUGUUUGGCGAUAAUGUGGGUAGAUUUGAUAAUAUCUUCAGCUCUUUUGGUGGUGGCAGUGGUAGAUCGUAUGGCAGCGGUGGUGGAGUUAGGUCGGGUACUCGAAAGCUGCCCGAUCUCGAGAGAAAUCUACCAUACCAUGAUAAAGCACCAUUUAACCACUCUGUUGUUGUCCGAAUAUUUUUUGGUUGUUUGCACAUAAAGGCAGCCAUAAUCAAAGAAGUUAACCCACUUAUUCUUGUAUUAGUGUUGUGUGUGUUAUGCUUUUUUUGCUACACUGUUUUCUUAAUUUUAGAUAUUUGAAAUAUGUCUCUUGGUUGAUAUUGGAAAGUAUCCUUAUUUAAUGGGUCAAGUUGCUUGAUCAUAAUUGCUUACA